CGUUACAUCCCGACUGGACGCAUGUCCCUGGCUGGACCCCUGUGUCCCCGCUGUUCCCCUGCCACACUGGCCAGCCCCACUGCAGCCCAGCGAGGGAGCAAAACCCAGCACCUUUGCCCCUUCCCGUGGCACCUGGACCCAUCUCCGUCCCGGCAGCAUGGCCCAGGGGUGAUAAACUGCAGAAAAGCAGGACGUGCCUGGCAAGAGUGGGUUUGCUGGCGUGUGCAAACAGGCUGUGCCGGGGCCGACACGCAGAACUGCCGUGUGGGGCAAUCCCUCCCCGGCACGGCCGAUGCCGAGGCUCUGAGUCAGCCCGGUGCUGGCUGUGCCUGGUGCCGGCAGCGCCACGCUCCCGUCCUGCAUCGGGAGAGACUGAAUGCACAAACCUGUCCCAGUUCUCUGUGGGGGCUCCUCGAGCUGCCCUCGCCACUGCUCUGGGCCCUUCCGCUGCAGAAAACCCUUCAGACUCACUCCCCAUCACUAAGUGUUAUGGAGCAGCACGGGGGACACAGAGAUGUCUGUGGGGACAGUGUGGCCCAUGUUCAGGGGUCACCGUGUCCCAGAGGAGUGGCUCUGCUCUCCACCAGACACCUGCAGAGCCGUGGGGGACCCUGGGGAGUGCUGGUGGGGUCUGUGCUGCCCAAAUCUGUGCAAACCUCCCGCUGCCCCAUGGGCAAAGCAAAGCUGGGCAGAGCGGAACGGGCUGCUGGUGUGCGGGGAGCUGCUCCCACCCUUCGCAGUCCCUGCGAUCGCUGCUCCUGUGUCAGGUUUUCUCCAGGAUCAUGCCCUGGACACAGGACCUGGAUGGGGCUGCAGCGGUUCCUUCUCUGCAGGGAACACAUUUGGGACACUGGGAUCUUCCCAGCUGGGAGAAGCUGUGUCACCCCCGUUUUUUGUGCACAAUUGCAGGCAGGGAGAGGCUGAGCCGGGCUGUGAGCCAGGCUUGUGCCUGCACACCAGCCUCAGCAGCUUGGCUGGGCUGAGCUUGGCUGGGCUGGGCUGAGCCCCAGUGCUUAGAGCUCUCCUGGCACCUCGCGGAGAGGAGAGGUUCCACAGCCAGCACUGGGAUAGGCAAAGGCUGAGCAGUGGAAGGAGGGUGAAUAAACACCAUAGAAAACAGAAGCUGGGGUAAACCAGGAGCCAAAGUGGUGUCCGAGGGUCACAGGAAUCGGGAUGUGCCCGCAGAUGACCCUUGUGUGUCGCAGGGGAGGGGGCUGCGCUGGGACACGCUGCAGCAUUUGAAACGCUCCUGUGCACGUCUCUGUUACAGCAUGUCCCAGUAGCACCUGACAGACAGACAGGUGCCACGGGAGCACCCGACAGAUGGACACGUGUCACAGGAGCAUCCCGCAGGCCACGGCCUCCGCCUCGUGUGGGCAGUGAGCGGUUCGCUCACUCAUUAAAUAAACGCUUCCAGGGUUUGGAAGCUUUGCGACGCGCGUUGCCAGGAUCAGCUGUGUAAGGGAAGGAAAUGUGGUCCUUGAGCAAACAGUCUGGGAUUCCCGGCGCUGGCCCCAUGACAGCCGGGCUCACCGGCCGUGCCGCGGCUCUUUCCAGGAGCAGGUUAAUCACCGGGGCUGACGCCUGCCAGAGCCGCCUUCGCUCAUUAAUGGGAUCAAACACUGCGCAUCAGAAAUCCGGCUCAUCCUGAAUCCCAGUCUGUGCCGUCACACAGAGGCUGCGGGAAGGAUGUCAGAGGAGAAAAGCUGGUUUCUAGGAAUGUCCCAGCCUGGAGGGCAAUUCUGAGCUGCAGGAGAAGCAGUAAAGCAAAAUGCCAGGAUGAUUUCUUCCUUUCUGUUACAUUUCCCAGGUGUAUUGGAAAGGCACCGAGACCUCCCCCCUCAGAGCACGGGGUGAAAUGGCUUUGCCAGACUCAAAAAUGAGACCUGCGGCAACCCCAGGCUGGUGCACGUGAGAGCAUUUCCCCCAAAACCCUGGGGUCUCAUAGAGAUGCUGGGCAGCCCUGCCCUUGCUGUCGGUGCCUUUCCGCCUCGCAGGGACCCCCUGCGGUCCCUGUGUGCCACCGAGAUGGUUUCCAGAAGCCACCAAAGCACAACCACAGGGCCAGGUCUUUGACUGAGGGACGAUAUCGCGGGUGUCACAGACCGCUCUGAGCCCUCCCCGCUCCUCCUGCCGAGCCCAAACCAAACCUGGCAGCUCAUGGGGCAUUGUCACGGCCCCGUGGGACUGUCCUGCGCACAGGGCCAGCGUUCAGACUGGGGAGAUGGUUAUUUGCCGGGCUCUGGGCAUAAAAAAACCUGCAGCAACGCGGUGCUCCCCGCCGAGAGGCUCUUGCAAAGGAGAUCAGCAUUGCCACCUCGUGGGGAGCGCGACAAACGCCCGAGAUCCGGCACCUCCAAGAGCAGCUCACGCUGAACACCGAGACCCAGGCCAUGCAGAAUGGGAGACAAUGAGCCGACACCAGCCAUGCAGGACAGCCAGCAAACAGGGACCGAGCGAGGAGGGCUUGAGUUUGCCGAGGUCUGACUGUGUGAGUUGAAACGCAAUAAGUUUCGCAUAUUUAAAGAGAAUAAAAAAAUAAGCAGCUUCA
Long non-coding RNA from Columba livia (rock pigeon), 2551 nucleotides. RefSeq lists it as uncharacterized. The record is from RefSeq and is a predicted model, not a curated record. The transcript has 2 exons. Lineage: Eukaryota; Metazoa; Chordata; Aves; Columbiformes; Columbidae.